GGAGAGGUGGCCGAGUGGUUUAAGGCUCUCGUCUUGAAAACGAGCGUGGCCUAAGCAGCCACCGUGGGUUCGAAUCCCACCCUCUCCGCCACGG
This 94-nucleotide transfer RNA is filed under the name Symbiobacterium thermophilum IAM 14863. Its description in RNAcentral is "tRNA-Ser". It matches the Rfam family "tRNA". From Rfam's summary of the family: Transfer RNA (tRNA) molecules are approximately 80 nucleotides in length. Lineage: Bacteria; Bacillati; Bacillota; Clostridia; Eubacteriales; Symbiobacteriaceae. The record is from RNAcentral.